This 74-nucleotide transfer RNA is filed under the name Planctomycetota bacterium. Its description in RNAcentral is "Planctomycetes bacterium (mine drainage metagenome) tRNA-Arg". It matches the Rfam family "tRNA". From Rfam's summary of the family: Transfer RNA (tRNA) molecules are approximately 80 nucleotides in length. Their secondary structure includes four short double-helical elements and three loops (D, anti-codon, and T loops). Lineage: Bacteria; Pseudomonadati; Planctomycetota. The record is from RNAcentral.
GCGGGCGUAGCUCAACUGGAUAGAGCGCCAGACUACGGAUCUGGAGGUUGCGGGUUCAACUCCCUCCGCCCGUA